UGACCUAGCGGCGAAUGGGUGAGUAACACGUGCUUAAUCUACCCUUUAGAUUGGAAUACCCAAUGGAAACAUUGGCUAAUGCCGGAUACGCAUGGAAUUGCAUGAUUCCGUUGUGAAAGGAGCCUUUAAAGCUCCGCUAGAGGAUGAGGGUGCGGAACAUUAGUUAGUUGGUAGGGUAAUGGCCUACCAAGACUAUGAUGUUUAGCCGGGUCGAGAGACUGAACGGCCACAUUGGGACUGAGAUACGGCCCAAACUCCUACGGGAGGCAGCAGUAGGGAAUAUUCCACAAUGAGCGAAAGCUUGAUGGAGCGACACAGCGUGCACGAUGAAGGUCUUCGGAUUGUAAAGUGCUGUUAUAGGGAAAGAACACCUGGUUGAGGAAAUGCUUCCAGGCUGACGGUACCCUGUCAGAAAGCGAUGGCUAACUAUGUGCCAGCAGCCGCGGUAAUACAUAGGUCGCAAGCGUUAUCCGGAAUUAUUGGGCGUAAAGCGUUCGUAGGCUGUUUAUUAAGUCUGGAGUCAAAUCCCAGGGCUCAACCCUGGCUCGCUUUGGAUACUGGUAAACUAGAGUUAGAUAGAGGUAAGCGGAAUUCCAUGUGAAGCGGUGAAAUGCGUAGAUAUAUGGAAGAACACCAAAGGCGAAGGCAGCUUACUGGGUCUAUACUGACGCUGAGGGACGAAAGCGUGGGGAGCAAACAGGAUUAGAUACCCUGGUAGUCCACGCCGUAAACGAUGAUCAUUAGUCGGUGGAGAGUUCACUGACGCAGCUAACGCAUUAAAUGAUCCGCCUGAGUAGUAUGCUCGCAAGAGUGAAACUUAAAGGAAUUGACGGGGACCCGCACAAGCGGUGGAGCAUGUGGUUUAAUUUGAAGAUACGCGGAGAACCUUACCCACUCUUGACAUCCUUCGCAAUGCUAUAGAGAUAUAGCGGAGGUUAACGGAGUGACAGAUGGUGCAUGGUUGUCGUCAGCUCGUGUCGUGAGAUGUUUGGUCAAGUCCUGCAACGAGCGCAACCCCUAUCUUUAGUUACUAACGAGUCAUGUCGAGGACUCUAGAGAUACUGCCUGGGUAACUGGGAGGAAGGUGGGGAUGACGUCAAAUCAUCAUGCCUCUUACGAGUGGGGCAACACACGUGCUACAAUGGUCGGUACAAAGAGAAGCAAUAUGGCGACAUGGAGCAAAUCUCAAAAAGCCGAUCUCAGUUCGGAUUGGAGUCUGCAAUUCGACUCCAUGAAGUCGGAAUCGCUAGUAAUCGCAGAUCAGCUACGCUGCGGUGAAUACGUUCUCGGGUCUUGUACACACCGCCCGUCACCCCAUGGGAGCUGGUAAUACCCAAAGUCGGUUAGCUAACCUCG
RNAcentral lists this ribosomal RNA (1356 nucleotides) under Mycoplasmopsis arginini. RNAcentral describes it as "Mycoplasma arginini partial 16S ribosomal RNA". It matches the Rfam family "Bacterial small subunit ribosomal RNA", at positions 88 to 1443 of the family's 1533-position model. The record is from RNAcentral. Lineage: Bacteria; Bacillati; Mycoplasmatota; Mycoplasmoidales; Metamycoplasmataceae.